UUUCUACACUCACUUCUCUCUCUAAAUUCUCUCUACUCUCUCUCUAGAUGAAGAUCCGACAACCUCCGACGGAGGUCCGGCGGCGAACUUUCCGGCGACUGUUUUCCGACCAAAGGUACAUAAGUGGCUUCGGAGAGAUGUGGGGUUAGGACAACUUUUAAAAAUGGACAAUAAUAAAGUUUGUGUCAUGGUACACGAGAUGGAACUUUUUGAACAUAAACACUUUAAACUAUACAAGUUGGGAUGAUUUGUAACAACUUUAAACUAUUUUGUCUAUUUUUAUAAUUAUCUAUGUAUGACCUAUAAUUGUUGGUUGCCAACCUCUGUCACUACCAUGCUUGUCUUCCGCUGCGGUUUUUGGGAUGAGGCUGAUUUUGUGAAGAAAAUAUAGUCUUCGUACAUAACCUUAAACCUGACACCACUCUCCUCUGUAUAACAUCACAAUAAAAGAUUUAUCCUUUUUAAACGCGAAACCCCUCAAAAUGGAUACAGGAGCUUGAUUUGAAGGGGACUUAUAGAAAUUGGUGAUAUUUUCCCAGUGUGUUACGAUGCUUUAUAGAAUCGAAAUGCGAAAAAAACAUCAUGAAUGUUUGGCUUUGUCUCCGCAAUCACUGAUAAAUGUACAUUGUCGCAGUUUAAGAACUCUUGGACGCCAUCUAAAGGCGCCUAAAGGACUCUACAAAAUAACAAAACAACAAGUCCUGUUGGAUAAUCUUGAUGUUUCGGGCCGAGUAUGUACAAAGUUGGUUACGGGAUAGAGAUAGAACGGGUUACAAGAAAAAGUCUAAAGUUGACCGAGUUUUAUGUAUGUGAACGAUAGAAUUAGGUAGCGAACAGGAAGGCGAUCGUGGUGUUAUGGAAGUGAAUAAUUGUAAUUUAUUCAAAAUGAGGCUGAUUUUGUGAAGAAAAUAUUGUCUUCGUACAUAACCUUAACCCUGGCACCACUCUCCUCUCUAUAUAGCAUCACAGUAA
RNAcentral lists this long non-coding RNA (972 nucleotides) under Helianthus annuus (common sunflower). Lineage: Eukaryota; Viridiplantae; Streptophyta; Magnoliopsida; Asterales; Asteraceae. The record is from RNAcentral.